UACGUAGGGUGCGAGCGUUGUCCGGAAUUAUUGGGCGUAAAGGGCUCGUAGGCGGUUUGUCGCGUCGGGAGUGAAAUCCACUGGCUUAACUGGUGGCUUGCUUUCGAUACGGGCAGACUGGAGGUAUGCAGGGGGAGAACGGAAUUCCUGGUGUAGCGGUGAAAUGCGCAGAAUAUCAGGAGGAACACCGGUGGCGAAGGCGGUUCUCUGGGCAUGUCCUGACGCUGAGGAGCGAA
RNAcentral lists this ribosomal RNA (236 nucleotides) under uncultured bacterium. Its description in RNAcentral is "partial 16S ribosomal RNA". It matches the Rfam family "Bacterial small subunit ribosomal RNA", at positions 524 to 757 of the family's 1533-position model. The record is from RNAcentral.